ACACCAACCAGUGCCAAAUAGAGUGUGAUAAAAAAUAGUCUGUGAAGGAAACAAUAGAGUGAGCAAUAUUUUUAGUAAGGUGUGGUAGUCAUUUGACUACGGUGUAAAAUUCCUUACCGGGUAUUUUAGUAAGGUGGGAAUUGAAAUUUUGAGUGUGUAAUAGUCACUUUGAAUAUUGUAUUUUUGACUCCUAUUGUUCUUGUUGUUUAACCGUAUUACCAUUUUAGUAAUUAUUGCUCUUUAUUACCGCAAUAUUAUUUUCGUGGCGGGAUUUAUUCCCAACACGGGCUGCCCUUUAACGUUGAAGUUGGUGGACCGGUGAAGGAUCCAAAUGACAUGUUGUAAAUACAGACAGGCUGUGUGCCUGAGGUUAAACCAGGAAGAAGCCCAAGAAUUAGACAGACCAACGAUAGAUUUGCUUGCGAUUCGAAUAAUAUAGGAACAAAACUAUUCACAAGAUGGGAUUGUACAUUUUUAUGGAUGAAACGACAUUUAAGAUGGGGAAAUGAUUGAAUUUGCUAGCAAUGUGAAAGAAAUAGCCUUUAAUCUCGAAAAUAAGAAUGAUUUUGCUCCUCUACAAUUUGUGAUCCCAUGUUUGGAUGUGCCAUGAGGGAAUAUUGCCACGAUAAUCAAAUAUCGUCAAAUGUCAUUAUUACUAUUAUUAUUAGUGAGGCUUUCGCAAGGGAUGUUUUCUUUUUUACAUUCUCGACUCUUAUAAUGAGAGACCAAACAAUCAAAAUUAGACAGGUGCAAGUAGCUUAACCGCCUUAUCCAUAAUUGAAACUAUAUCCGUCACACUGAAAAUACGUAUGUCAAAAACCCAUGCAACAUAGUCAUACCCAGGGUUUUGAUCUAGGGGUAAGAGCGGACUUGUGAAUUAGGUGCACGUGACAUGUUCGAACCUUGCAACAGACAAAAUCGUUUCUCCACUUCUAACAUUUCUUUUUUGAUCUGCUUUGAAUUGUUUUACUGGGUAUAUUAUUGUUGCUGUAGCAUGAAUUAUUUAGUGAAGGUACAUUUGUGCCGAAAAAAUGAUCUUACAUAGAUUGUCAUAUCAUGUGAUAAAAUAACAUGUAAUGGACUAAAAACAAUAUAUGUCAGAUGUAAUUUAAGGUAUUCGGUAAAAACUGAAAUAUGUAGUUGAAUUUUACAUUUGGAAUCAAUAAGUACCAAGCAGUAGCUCACAUUCAUGUCUCUCUACUCGCUUAUAUUCUUCAUCUUAGAUACCAAGUGAAUGUGAUAAAGUACAAUAAAAUAGAGAGGCAACCUAUGGAACAGACAGUAACGGCAAGACCAAGUGAAUGUGAUAAAGUAGCAAACAUACUAGUCGCAAAUGCAAUUACAACUGCUAACAUUGACACGCACUGAUAAAUACC
RNAcentral lists this long non-coding RNA (1376 nucleotides) under Capsicum annuum. Its description in RNAcentral is "long non-coding RNA (CANN_LNC009035)". The record is from RNAcentral. Lineage: Eukaryota; Viridiplantae; Streptophyta; Magnoliopsida; Solanales; Solanaceae.